UGAGGAAUAUUGGUCAAUGGACGCAAGUCUGAACCAGCCAUGCCGCGUGAAGGAUGAAGGCGUUCUGCGUUGUAAACUUCUUUUAUCAGGGAAGAAACCUCAGAUUUCUAUUUGAGCCGACGGUACCUGAUGAAUAAGCACCGGCUAACUCCGUGCCAGCAGCCGCGGUAAUACGGAGGGUGCAAGCGUUAUCCGGAUUUACUGGGUUUAAAGGGUGUGUAGGCGGAUUAUUAAGUCAGCGGUGAAAUCUCCAGGCUCAACCUGGAAACUGCCAUUGAUGCUAUUAGUCUUGAAUAUUGUUGAGGUGGGCGGAACGGGUCAUGUAGCGGUGAAAUGCAUAGAUAUGACCCGGAACACCGAUUGCGAAGGCAGCCCCCCAGGCCGCCACUGACGCUGAGGCACGAAAGUGCGGGGAUCAAACA
Molecule: ribosomal RNA, 422 nt
Filed under: uncultured bacterium
Lineage: Bacteria
Description: bacterial SSU rRNA
Rfam family: Bacterial small subunit ribosomal RNA
Source: RNAcentral